AGCAGCCGCGGUAAUUCCAGCUCCAAUAGCGUAUAUUAAAGUUGUUGCAGUUAAAAAGCUCGUAGUUGAAUUUCGGGGUUAGUAGGUUGGUCAUGCCUCUGGUAUGUACUGGUCUCACUGAUUCCUCCUUCCUGAUGAACCUUAAUGCCAUUAAUUUGGUGUUUUGGGGAAUUUGGACUGUUACUUUGAAAAAAUUAGAGUGUUUAAAGCAAGCUAACGCUUGAAUACAUUAGCAUGGAAUAAUGAAAUAGGACGUUCGAUCCUAUUUUGUUGGUUUCUAGGAUUGACGUAAUGAUUAAUAGGGAUAGUUGGGGGCAUUAGUAUUCAAUUGUCAGAGGUGAAAUUCUUGGAUUUAUUGAAGACUAACUACUGCGAAAGCAUUUGCCAAGGAUGUUUUCAUUAAUUCAAGAACGAAAGUUAGGGGAUCGAAGACGAUCAGAUACCGUCGUAGUCUUAACCAUAAACUAUGCCGACUAGGGAUCGGAUGAUGUUAAUUUUUAAUGACUCAUUCGGCGCCUUA
This 520-nucleotide ribosomal RNA is filed under the name uncultured Glomus. RNAcentral describes it as "SSU rRNA". It matches the Rfam family "Eukaryotic small subunit ribosomal RNA", at positions 569 to 1090 of the family's 1831-position model. The record is from RNAcentral. Lineage: Eukaryota; Fungi; Glomeromycota; Glomeromycetes; Glomerales; Glomeraceae.